Molecule: ribosomal RNA, 245 nt
Filed under: uncultured Azonexus sp.
Lineage: Bacteria; Pseudomonadati; Pseudomonadota; Betaproteobacteria; Rhodocyclales; Azonexaceae
Description: partial 16S ribosomal RNA
Rfam family: Bacterial small subunit ribosomal RNA
Source: RNAcentral
UACGUAGGGUGCGAGCGUUAAUCGGAAUUACUGGGCGUAAAGCGUGCGCAGGCGGUUUUUUAAGAUAGGCGUGAAAUCCCCGGGCUCAACCUGGGAACUGCGCUUAUGACUGGAAGACUAGAGUAUGGCAGAGGGGGGUGGAAUUCCACGUGUAGCAGUGAAAUGCGUAGAGAUGUGGAGGAACACCGAUGGCGAAGGCAGCCCCCUGGGCCAAUACUGACGCUCAUGCACGAAAGCGUGGGGAG